ACAGUACACAAAUAAAUACGAUAAUUCCCCACAGUGAGGAGUGCCAUAAAGAAAGAGGGUGAUACCUUCAAGAGGAAGGUGUGGAGUUGGGUGUCAGAUAAAGAGACUCUGGGGGGUUCCCCUUAUGGCUCAGUGAGUUAAGAAUUCAACUAGUAUCCAUGAGGACGCAGGUUGGAUCCCUGGCCCCACUCAGUGGGUUAAGGAUCCGGUGUUGCCGUGAGCGGUGGUGUAGGUUGCAGACGUGGCUCACAUCUGCUGUGGCUGUGGCUGUGUCCGGUGGCUGCAGCUCCAAUUUGACCCCUAGCCUGGGAACCUCCAUAGGCCAUGGGGGUAGCCCUAAAAAGAUAGGAAAGAAAGAAAGAAAGAAAGAAAGAAAGAAAGAAAGAAAGAAAGAAAGAAAGAAAGAAAGAAGGAAGGAAGGAAGGAAGGAAGAGAAUCUGGGAUGGUGACAAUUUGCUGAGACUAGAAUGACAAGGACUCGGCCUUGUGAAGAUAUGGGAAAAGUGUUGUUAACCAACGUGAGUUUUUCCAGUGGUUUUUCUCUCCAAACCUCCAGCUGUUUCUCAUCUGGUCCCAGAGGAAAAUGACGUAGGGAGAACUGGGUUGCCAAAGAUUUAUAAUUUAACCUUUCUGGUUCUAGAGCCGAUUCUUCCACCAGCAAAGAAAAUGCUCUUAACUCUUUAGUGCCUUGUGCUCUUUCAAAUUUGAAGGAUCCUCUGCGAGAGGUUUGGAGGGUUUGGACUCCCGACUGCAAUGGAGACAGUGAUUGAUGUUAAUAGGAACUGACACACAAGCCUCAGGAAAUGAUCCUUCUUGAGACUUGGCAUCUGCCAGGCUCUUUUCCAAAGUUUUAUGUUCUCGGCUGGUCUCUGGAGAGAUGGGGGCCAUAGCCAGCGGAAUGUGGCCACCCGUUUAAAAUAGAUAAAGUCGAAGGGUGUCCUCCAAUGUAUUGAGAUUUAUGAAAAGUGUGUAGCCCUGUGUGUUUCCACUGAAACGAGAGGUUGUGAGCUCCAGGGAGAAUUUGCACAGACAGAUGGUCAUUCUUUGUCUUGGCUGUCCAGCACUGUUCUGAUUUCAUAAAAGUUAAUUCUUUUCAAUAAAAGUCAUUUAUUUAUGAAAAGCACAACUAAGUGUGAUUUAACUCAUAUGCUUUUUUGCAAGAGCUUUCAAAAAUCCUUUGUCAUAAGAAGUGUUUCUAGGAGUUCCCAACAUGGCUCAGUGGAAAUGAAUCCGACUAGUAUCCAUGAGGAUGUGGGUUCGAUCCUUGGCCUUGUUCAGUGGGUUAAGGAUCUGGCGUUGUCGUGAUCUGUGGUGUAUGUCAAAGACGAGGCUUGGAUCCUCUGUUGCUGUGACUGUGGAGCAGGCUGGUGGCUACAGCUCUGAUUAAAUCCCUAGCCUCGUAAUUUCCAGAGGCCACAGGUAUGGCCCUAAAAAGAAAAAAAAAAAAAAAUGGUUAUAAAAAAUCGCUUAGGGUUCCCAUUGUGGCUCAGUGGUAACUAAUCUGACCAGUAUCCAUGAGGAGGCGGGUUCAAUCCCUGGCCUCCUUCAGUGGGCUAAGGAUCUGGUGUUGCCGUGAGCUAUGGUAUAGGUCGUAGCUCUGGUGUAGGCUGGCAGCUGCAGCUCUGAUUUGACCCCUAGCCUGGGAACAUGCAUAUGGAGGAGUGUAGUUCUGCCUUCAAGUAAGGAAACUUAGAAAUGAAAACACUCUCCCCACCCCCACCAUUGUGGCAAAAGCAACAUUAAACAGCUCCAGUCACAGAUAGCUGACAACCCCAUCAUGUAAUCAAAGCAACGCUUCAUGUGUCCAUGAUAUCUCCUAUCAUGUACAUUUUUAUGCAAUAUAAUAUAUGCAUCUUUUUGGGGGGUGGGGUCUUUUUAGGGCCACACCCACGGCAUAUGGAAUUUCCCAGGCUAGCGGUCGAAUCGGAGCUGUAGCUGCCAGUCUACAGCACAGCUCACGGCAGCACUGGAUCUUGAGCCCACUGCGUGGGGCCAGGGAUCAAACCCACAUCCUCACAGAUACAGGUUGGGUUGGUUGCCGCUAAGCCACAGCAGGAACUCCAAUAUGUGCAUCUUUGUAAUGAUAUUGUAGACAGAAUUUUAAAAUAACAAAACCCCUCAUUUACUGCUAGUCCUAAGCCCAGGCUCUCUGUCCUAAGGCCUUUACAUGCAUUAAUUCAUUUAGUUCUCACAAUAACCCCUGAGACAGGUACUAUUACUGUAUCCCUUGACGUGUGAGGAAAUUAAGGACAUAUUUUCUAUUACCUAGUCUACAAUCUGGCUUCAGAGUGUAACAUUUUUCUCAAAUUUUCAUUUUGCCUAGUCUUUUCCCGCUUUGUUUCUCUCUCCCUCCCCUCUUCAGACUAAAUCUCUUUUCCCCUUCUUGUUUUUCUCAUCUAAUAAAUGCAUUGUGGACAUUUCUUUUUUUUGGCUGCAUCCACAGUGUGUGGAAGCUCUUGGGCCAGGGAACCCAUCUGCCCCACAGUGGUAACCAGAGCCACAGCAGUGACAAUGUGAGGCCCUUAGCCCCCUGAGCCACCAGGGAACUCCUAUAGACAUUUCUUUAGGUCAAAAGAUGUAGAUCUGGAGUUCCUGUUGUGGCUCAGUGGUUAACAAAUCUGACUAGUAUCUGUGAGGACGUGGGUUUGAUCCCUGGCCUUGCUCAGUGGGUUAAGGAUCUGGCAUUGCCAUGAGCUGUGGUGUAGGUCGUGAUCGUGGCUUGGAUCCUGCGUUGCUGUGGCUGUGGUGUAGGCUGGAAGCUACAGCUCUGAUUCGACCUCCUAGCCUGGAAACUUCUAUAUGCCAUGGGUGCAGCCCUAAAAAG
Molecule: long non-coding RNA, 2824 nt
Filed under: Sus scrofa (pig)
Lineage: Eukaryota; Metazoa; Chordata; Mammalia; Artiodactyla; Suidae
Description: lncRNA (ENSSSCG00035012841.1)
Source: RNAcentral